Molecule: ribosomal RNA, 225 nt
Filed under: Escherichia coli
Lineage: Bacteria; Pseudomonadati; Pseudomonadota; Gammaproteobacteria; Enterobacterales; Enterobacteriaceae
Description: partial 16S ribosomal RNA
Rfam family: Bacterial small subunit ribosomal RNA
Source: RNAcentral
AAAUUGAAGAGUUUGAUCAUGGCUCAGAUUGAACGCUGGCGGCAGGCCUAACACAUGCAAGUCGAACGGUAACAGGAAGCAGCUUGCUGCUUCGCUGACGAGUGGCGGACGGGUGAGUAAUGUCUGGGAAACUGCCUGAUGGGGGGGGAUAACUACUGGAAACGGUAGCUAAUACCGCAUAACGUCGCAAGACCAAAGAGGGGGACCUUCGGGCCUCUUGCCAUC